CGGAAGUCGGGGGUUCAAAUCCCCCCUUUUGCUGUAAAUUAGACAGGGAGGACUUUCACCUCCAUCUUCGA
RNAcentral lists this transfer RNA (71 nucleotides) under Aulostomus chinensis (Chinese trumpetfish). RNAcentral describes it as "tRNA-Thr". The record is from RNAcentral. Lineage: Eukaryota; Metazoa; Chordata; Actinopteri; Syngnathiformes; Aulostomidae.